This 459-nucleotide ribosomal RNA is filed under the name uncultured bacterium. RNAcentral's name for it is "partial 16S ribosomal RNA". It matches the Rfam family "Bacterial small subunit ribosomal RNA", at positions 338 to 795 of the family's 1533-position model. The record is from RNAcentral.
CCUACGGGAGGCUGCAGUGAGGAAUAUUGGUCAAUGGGCGCGAGCCUGAACCAGCCAAGUCGCGUGAGGGAAGACGGUCCUAUGGAUUGUAAACCUCUUUUGUCGGGGAGCAAAAGACGCCAUGCGUGGCGUUCCGAGAGUACCCGACGAAAAAGCAUCUGCUAACGCCGUGCCAGCAGCCGCGGUAAUACGGAGGAUGCGAGCGUUAUCAGGGUUUCUUGGGUUAAAGGGGUGUGCCGGCGGAAUAGCAAGUCAGCGGGAACAUUGGGAGGCUCAACCUCUUCGAGCCGUUGAAACUGGUUUUCUUGAGUGAGCGAGAAGUAUGCGGAAUGCGUGGUGUAGCGGUGAAAUGCAUAGAUAUCACGCAGAACUCCGAUUGCGAAGGCAGCAUACCGGCGCUCAACUGACGCUCAUGCACGAAAGUGUGGGUAUCGAACAGGAUUAGAUACCCGAGUAGUC